AGUCGUAACAAGGUUUCCGUAGGUGAACCUGCGGAAGGAUCAUUACCGAGUGCAGGUCUGCCCCCGGGCAGGCCUAACCUCCCACCCGUGAAUACCUGACCAACGUUGCUUCGGCGGUGCGCCCCCCCCGGGGGUAGCCGCCGGAGACCACACCGAACCUCCUGUCUUUAGUGUUGUCUGAGCUUGAUAGCAAACCUAUUAAAACUUUCAACAAUGGAUCUCUUGGUUCCGGCAUCGAUGAAGAACGCAGCGAACUGCGAUAAGUAAUGUGAAUUGCAGAAUUCAGUGAAUCAUCGAGUCUUUGAACGCACAUUGCGCCCCCUGGCAUUCCGGGGGGCAUGCCUGUCCGAGCGUCAUUGCUGCCCUUCAAGCCCGGCUUGUGUGUUGGGUCGUCGUCCCCCCCGGGGGACGGGCCCGAAAGGCAGCGGCGGCACCGCGUCCGGUCCUCGAGCGUAUGGGGCUUUGUCACCCGCUCGAUUAGGGCCGGCCGGGCGCCAGCCGGCGUCUCCAACCUUCUAUUUUACCAGGU
RNAcentral lists this unclassified non-coding RNA (529 nucleotides) under Aspergillus calidoustus. RNAcentral's name for it is "sequence contains 18S rRNA gene, ITS1, 5.8S rRNA gene, ITS2, 28S rRNA gene". The stretch from base 203 to 356 matches the Rfam family "5.8S ribosomal RNA". The record is from RNAcentral. Lineage: Eukaryota; Fungi; Ascomycota; Eurotiomycetes; Eurotiales; Aspergillaceae.